Molecule: ribosomal RNA, 469 nt
Filed under: uncultured Desulfarculus sp.
Lineage: Bacteria; Pseudomonadati; Thermodesulfobacteriota; Desulfarculia; Desulfarculales; Desulfarculaceae
Description: bacterial SSU rRNA
Rfam family: Bacterial small subunit ribosomal RNA
Source: RNAcentral
UUCCUACGGGCGGCAGCAGUGAGGAAUCUUGCGCAAUGGGGGAAACCCUGACGCAGCCACGCCGCGUGGGUGAAGAAGGCCUUCGGGUCGUAAAGCCCUGUCAGGUGGGAAGAACCGCAAGGGAACGAAAAAGUCCUUUGCCUGACGGUACCACCAAAGGAAGCACCGGCUAACUCCGUGCCAGCAGCCGCGGUAAUACGGAGGGUGCAAGCGUUGUUCGGAAUUACUGGGCGUAAAGCGCGUGUAGGCGGCCAAGUAAGUCGAAUGUGAAAUCCCUCGGCUCAACCGAGGAAGUGCAUCCGAAACUGCUUGGCUUGAGUCCCGGAGAGGGAUGUGGAAUUCCCGGUGUAGAGGUGAAAUUCGUAGAUAUCGGGAGGAACAUCAGUGGCGAAGGCGACAUCCUGGACGGUGACUGACGCUAAGACGCGAAAGCGUGGGUAGCAAACAGGAUUAGAUACCCCGGUAGUCG